This 116-nucleotide ribosomal RNA is filed under the name Pasteurellaceae bacterium 15-036681. The record is from RNAcentral. Lineage: Bacteria; Pseudomonadati; Pseudomonadota; Gammaproteobacteria; Pasteurellales; Pasteurellaceae.
CCUGAUGACCAUAGUGCUGUGGUUCUACCUGAUUCCAUUCCGAACUCAGAAGUAAAACGCAGUAACGCCGAUGGUAGUGUGGUGUUUCGCCAUGUGAGAGUAGGGCAUCAUCAGGG